AACGAACGCUGGCGGCAGGCCUAACACAUGCAAGUCGAGCGGACCCUUCGGGGUUAGCGGCGGACGGGUGAGUAACGCGUGAGAAUAUGCCCUUCUCUACGGAAUAGUCCUGGGAAACUGGGGGUAAUACCGUAUACGCCCUUUGGGGGUAAGAUUUAUCGGGGAAGGAUUAGCCCGCGUUGGAUUAGGUAGUUGGUGGGGUAAUGGCCUACCAAGCCGACGAUCCAUAGCUGGUUUGGGAGGAUGAUCAUCCACACUGGGACUGAGACACGGCCCAGACUCCGACGGGAGGCAGCAGUAGGGAAUCUUAGACAAUGGGGGCAACCCUGAUCUAGCCAUGCCGCGUGAGUGAUGAAGGCCUUUGGGUUGUAAAGCUCUUUCAGCUGGGAAGAUAAUGACGGUACCAGCAGAAGAAGCCCCGGCUAACUCCGUG
This 433-nucleotide ribosomal RNA is filed under the name uncultured bacterium. Its description in RNAcentral is "partial 16S ribosomal RNA". It matches the Rfam family "Bacterial small subunit ribosomal RNA", at positions 29 to 507 of the family's 1533-position model. The record is from RNAcentral.